GCCGGGCGUGGUGGCUCACACCUGUAAUCCCAGCACUUUGGGAGGCUGAGGCGGGUGGAUCACCUGAGGUCAGGAGUUCGAGACCAGCCUGGCCAACAUGGUGAAACCCUGUCUCUA
RNAcentral lists this non-coding RNA (117 nucleotides) under Homo sapiens (human). The record is from Rfam by way of RNAcentral. Lineage: Eukaryota; Metazoa; Chordata; Mammalia; Primates; Hominidae.